CGAAGGUCCCGUGUUCCUGAUUCCGUUCCUUUGCAGAAAGACAGAUGGUAGUGACGGAGGACAGAUCAGCGGCUGCCAGGGCUUGAGCCUGGCUGCGGAGCAAAGAGGAGGGGCCUGGAGUCAAGCCCCAGACUGGAGGGAAAUACAAUCACAGGUGUGAGCCUGGAUGACGUGGAGACUAUUAUUUGAGUGACUGGAAGUGGCUGGAAGGUGACGGACCUGGACUGCGGUAUCACCGGUGGCCCUCUGAGUGCAGAAGAUAAAGGCUCAGCGUCCAGAGGCUCCGCCACCCCCACCCCGAUUACCACCCAAGGACCGCCAGGGCCCCUGUAUGAAGCCACGCCCUCCAGCCUGGCACCAGGGCCUGCACCUUCCUGCCUCUUCAGGGACGUCACUCCCGAGGUCCCCGCUCUGUCUCCCACUGCACCAAAAUUUUCUGCAGAGCCUGCGUACGAGGCUGUCGUCUCUCCCUGCCCAACAUGAGAUCGGGCCCUCUCUGCUGUGUCAGCUAUAUCUGCGUUCCUCUGGUCACCGCGGCAGCCCGGCCCCCCAUAGGUUGUCUGUGUUUGUCGUCCCCAGUUCUCUCCCUCCUGUGUUCUCUUACACCAAGUGCAGUCUGACGUCCGCCCGCCCCCACCGCCGCUCCACCACACCUGCCAUUGGCAGCAUCCUCAGGACUUCCGCGUCGUCCAGCUCCCUGCCCCCCAAGGGUGCCCCCUGUGCCUGAGCCCUGGCUCCAGCAGGCUUGGCCCCUGGAAGAGGAGGAGGAGGAAGAGGAAGGCCCAGGAAGCAGGACUGUCUGUGGGGAGGCAGGUGGGUGCAGCCGCCACAGCGGCACCUCCAAUCUGUUACCAUCAGCACUAACUAACUGUCCUUUUCCCGAGGUGCGGUCUGCCUCAUUCGGCUUGAAAUAAACAUCUCAUAUUUCGGUCGCA
This is a long non-coding RNA of Artibeus jamaicensis (Jamaican fruit-eating bat), 935 nucleotides long. RefSeq lists it as uncharacterized. The record is from RefSeq and is a predicted model, not a curated record. The transcript has 2 exons. Lineage: Eukaryota; Metazoa; Chordata; Mammalia; Chiroptera; Phyllostomidae.